This 207-nucleotide ribosomal RNA is filed under the name uncultured bacterium. Its description in RNAcentral is "partial 16S ribosomal RNA". It matches the Rfam family "Bacterial small subunit ribosomal RNA", at positions 568 to 774 of the family's 1533-position model. The record is from RNAcentral.
CGUGUAGGUGGACUUGCAAGUCAAAGGUGAAAUCCCCGGGCUUAACCUGGGAACUGCCUCUGAAACUGCAAGACUAGAGUAUAGGAGAGGGAAGUGGAAUUUCCGGUGUAGCGGUGAAAUGCGUAGAUAUCGGAAGGAACACCAGUGGCGAAGGCGACUUCCUGGCCUAAUACUGACACUGAGGCGCGAAAGCGUGGGUAGCGAACA